This 468-nucleotide ribosomal RNA is filed under the name uncultured bacterium. RNAcentral's name for it is "partial 16S ribosomal RNA". It matches the Rfam family "Bacterial small subunit ribosomal RNA", at positions 28 to 507 of the family's 1533-position model. The record is from RNAcentral.
GACGAACGCUGGCGGCGUGCUUAACACAUGCAAGUCGAACGGAAAGGCCCUGCUUUUGUGGGGUGCUCGAGUGGCGAACGGGUGAGUAACACGUGAGUAACCUGCCCUUGACUUUGGGAUAACUUAAGGAAACUGGGGCUAAUACCGGAUAGGAGCUCCUGCUGCAGGGUGGGGGUUGGAAAGUUUCGGCGGUUGGGGAUGGACUCGCGGCUUAUCAGCUUGUUGGUGGGGUAGUGGCUUACCAAGGCUUUGACGGGUAGCCGGCCUGAGAGGGUGACCGGCCACAUUGGGACUGAGAUACGGCCCAGACUCCUACGGGAGGCAGCAGUGGGGAAUAUUGCACAAUGGGCGGAAGCCUGAUGCAGCAACGCCGCGUGCGGGAUGACGGCCUUCGGGUUGUAAACCGCUUUCGCCUGUGACGAAGCGUGAGUGACGGUAAUGGGUAAAGAAGCACCGGCUAACUACGCG